AAGUCUGACGGAGCACGCCGCGUGAGUGAUGAAGGCUUUCGGGUCGUAAAACUCUGUUGUUAGGGAAGAACAAGUACAAGAGUAACUGCUUGUACCUUGACGGUACCUAACCAGAAAGCCACGGCUAACUACGUGCCAGCAGCCGCGGUAAUACGUAGGUGGCAAGCGUUAUCCGGAAUUAUUGGGCGUAAAGCGCGCGCAGGCGGUUUCUUAAGUCUGAUGUGAAAGCCCACGGCUCAACCGUGGAGGGUCAUUGGAAACUGGGGAACUUGAGNGCAGAAGAGAAAAGNGGAAUUCCACGUGUAGCGGUGAAAUGCGUAGAGAUGUGGAGGAACACCAGUGGCGAAGGCGGCUUUUUGGUCUGUAACUGACGCUGAGGCGCGAAAGCGUGGGGAGCAAACAGGAUUAGAUACCCUGGUAGUCCACGCCGUAAACGAUGAGUGCUAAGUGUUANAGGGUUUCCGCCCUUUAGUGCUGCAGCUAACGCAUUAAGCACUCCGCCUGGGGAGUACGGUCGCAAGACUGAAACUCAAAGGUUNNACNGGGG
This 547-nucleotide ribosomal RNA is filed under the name bacterium MC265. RNAcentral describes it as "bacterial SSU rRNA". It matches the Rfam family "Bacterial small subunit ribosomal RNA", at positions 379 to 919 of the family's 1533-position model. The record is from RNAcentral.